Non-coding RNA from Pelobates cultripes (western spadefoot toad), 250 nucleotides. Lineage: Eukaryota; Metazoa; Chordata; Amphibia; Anura; Pelobatidae. The record is from the annotation of a GenBank genome assembly.
CUGUAACCUGGAAUUGUUCGAUCAUUUCUUCAAUCUGUCUGGCAGUCCUGUUUCCCUUUCCUGAUAUCCUCUCCAUGUGUAUUUGUAGAUUCCUUGUCAUUGUCAAUGAACCUUUUCUCACGGAUGCCUUAAAAAUAUUUUUGUUUCCCCUGCAUAUAGUUGCUUAUGACUGCAGAGAUUGGCAAAACAUCAUACAUAUAGAAGACGGUCACCUCUUCUUUUGAUCGUAAAGGAACAAUGUAUAUGUCCA